RNAcentral lists this ribosomal RNA (389 nucleotides) under Chrysochromulina sp. Its description in RNAcentral is "partial small subunit ribosomal RNA". It matches the Rfam family "Eukaryotic small subunit ribosomal RNA", at positions 582 to 975 of the family's 1831-position model. The record is from RNAcentral. Lineage: Eukaryota; Haptophyta; Prymnesiales; Chrysochromulinaceae.
AUUCCAGCUCCAAUAGCGUAUAUUAAAGUUGUUGCAGUUAGAACGCUCGUAGUCGGAUUUCGGGGCGGGCCGACCGGUCUGCCGAUGGGUACGCACUGGUCGGCGCGUCCUUCCUUCCGGAGACCGUGCCUACUCUUAACUGAGCGGGGGCGGGAGACGGAUCGUUUACUUUGAAAAAAUCAGAGUGUUUCAAGCAGGCAGCUCGCUCUUGCAUGGAUUAGCAUGGGAUAAUGAAAUAGGACUUUGGUGCUAUUUUGUUGGUUUCGAACACCGAAGUAAUGAUUAACAGGGACAGUCAGGGGCACUCGUAUUCCGCCGAGAGAGGUGAAAUUCUCAGACCAGCGGAAGACGAACCACUGCGAAAGCAUUUGCCAGGGAUGUUUUCAUUG